RNAcentral lists this ribosomal RNA (465 nucleotides) under Vreelandella stevensii. RNAcentral's name for it is "partial 16S ribosomal RNA". It matches the Rfam family "Bacterial small subunit ribosomal RNA", at positions 338 to 795 of the family's 1533-position model. The record is from RNAcentral. Lineage: Bacteria; Pseudomonadati; Pseudomonadota; Gammaproteobacteria; Oceanospirillales; Halomonadaceae.
CCUACGGGAGGCUGCAGUGGGGAAUAUUGGACAAUGGGGGCAACCCUGAUCCAGCCAUGCCGCGUGUGUGAAGAAGGCCCUCGGGUUGUAAAGCACUUUCAGUGAGGAAGAACGCCUGGUGGUUAAUACCCAUCAGGAAAGACAUCACUCACAGAAGAAGCACCGGCUAACUCCGUGCCAGCAGCCGCGGUAAUACGGAGGGUGCGAGCGUUAAUCGGAAUUACUGGGCGUAAAGCGCGCGUAGGUGGCUUGAUAAGCCGGUUGUGAAAGCCCCGGGCUCAACCUGGGAACGGCAUCCGGAACUGUCAAGCUAGAGGGCAGGAGAGGAAGGUAAAAUUCCCGGUGUAGCGGUGAAAUGCGUAGAGAUCGGGAGGAAUACCAGUGGCGAAGGCGGCCUUCUGGACUGACACUGACACUGAGGUGCGAAAGCGUGGGUAGCAAACAGGAUUAGAUACCCUGGUAGUC